UCCCAACCCCAGACGCAACGUGCAGCCUCCUCCCCGGGCAUUGUUUUUAGCCAAAGUGACAGCAGGAACCACAGAUAUGAGUGCAAAGAAUAAAGCAACUGUUUAUUGUUUUACUGCACAGAAGCAACACCUGGGAGAGAGUCUGCCAUGGAGCUCGGUGCCAGCAUGCUUCUCCUUACCCUGUGACACCUGAAGAGUCGUCACCGCACCAGUGUUCGUCGGUCCGUGAGGAAGGCUCAGCUCCUGCUGCUGCCCUUGACGCGGCAGGUGUCUGAGUGGCCGACAGCCCAUCCCCUCGGCUUUUCCCUUCAGGGAUAGGAUUCAGCUCUGACAGGUCCGGUAAGGACGCUGCCAACUUUCCUACGGCCGAAGGCGCCUCAUCAGGACCGGGCAGAGGACGCGUCCGCUGGCGUUUGGAUUCUCCUGGCCGCUCUUGACCUGCGAUAACUUACAGAGGUCUGAGGGGGAUUCCUCCUAUAAGUGGACACUUGUCUCAAAGGUGAUGACCAAAGCGAACAAGUGGAUUGCGAAGUCUAGGCUGCUUCUCUUCAAGAUGUCCUCCUUCGGUGGACUGCCCUGCCAAACAAAGCAAAAGGACUGAUGAGGCCAGGAGGGUAUCAGAUUUUUGGACCACUUCUCCAAGGCUUUCAGGGUGAUUGACAUAACCGCUGCUCUUCACAUUA
This is a non-coding RNA of Struthio camelus australis, 683 nucleotides long. NCBI's taxonomy places the organism in Eukaryota, Metazoa, Chordata, Aves, Struthioniformes, Struthionidae. The record is from RefSeq and is a predicted model, not a curated record.